GUAUGAUCAUUGCUUAUAUUACUACAACUCUAAACCUGGCAGUGAUAUCUACUCUAGUAUGUAGAUGAUAUGCUGCUGGCCAGUUCAAGAAAGAUCGAAAUAAUAAGAUGAAGAACCUCGUAAAAUCAGAAUUUGAAAUGAAAGACUUAGGGAAUGCCAAGAAAAUACUUGGAAUGGUCUCCAGUUUGACACAUAUGUUGUGAAAAUUAGUUUUAGGAGAAAUGAGUAUGAUUAUUGCUUAUAUUACUACAACUCUAAACCUGGCAGCGAUAUCUACUCUAAUAUGUAGAUGAUAUGCUGCUGGCCAGUUCAAGCAAGAUCGAAAUAAUAAGAUGAAGAACCUCCUAAAAUCAGAAUUUGAAAUGAAAGACUUAGGGAAUGCCCAGAAAAUACUUGGAAUGGUCAUGACUAGAAAUAGACAGAAAGACGGGUUAACAAUAACUUAAGAAUCUUACCUGCAUAAAGUGAUAUCAAAAUUUGGCAUGAAAGAGGCAAAGUCUGUUAAUGUUUCACUUGCCGCUCACAUGAAUCUCUCCUCAGCCCAAUGCCCUAAAACUGAAUUUGAAGUUAAAGACAUGGGAAAUAUUCCUUACUCUAAUACAAUGGGAGCAGUAAUGUUUUCCAUGAUCACAACCAGACCUGAUCUAGCAUAUUCAAUCAAUUUUUUAAGCAGGUUUAUGGCCAACCCUGGGAAACCAUAUUGGGAUGGUUUAAAAUGGCUAUUACAAUAUAUAACUGGGACACUAAAGGUAGGUUUAGUGUUCAAAAAGGGAUCAGAACCAUUAACCCUUAAGGGAUACGUGAAUUCUGAUUUUACAGGAGAUAAGGAUCAAAGAAAAUCUACCACUGCUUAUUUCUUUACACUUGGUGAUAAUUGUAUCACCUGGAAGUCUCAACUUCAAUCCAUUGUCACUUUAUCUAAUACUGAAGUUGAGUAUGUGGCAAUUACUGAAUGAGUUAAAGAAUGUAUAUGGCUCAAAGGAAUUUUAAGUGAAUUGAAUUUUUUGUUUACUUCACCUGUUAUACUUACUGUUAGUAAAGUGUCUUUUUGUUAAGCAAGAACCCUGUCUAUCAUGAAAGGUCUAAGCACAUUGAGGUGAAGUACCAUUUUAUAAGAGAAUAACUCUCUUCAGGUGAAAUGGUUAUUAGGAAAAUUCAUACCGACAUUAAUCCAUUUGAUACAGGCACUAAAAUUCUGCAUGUAUGUAAAUUCAGAAUUUGUCUGUCAAUUCUUAAUAUUGAUACUGGGUAAUUUUCUUUUCAGGUACCUUGGGCAAUGAUGUUGGUUAGUCUUUCCACAAAUGUACAAUUCAGCAACUGAGAGAGCGAGUGCAAUUUUGAGAACCAAGGUGAAGAUUGAAGGAGAAAACUUGUUUCUCCAAAUUGCAACUUAAGAGAGGGUGAUUUGGACAUUUUUGGCACUUAAAGUUAGUGGAUGUUACGUGGCGGCUUCUGAUUCGUCCCUUUCAUGUUACUUGGAUCUCUGUUUCUUUUGGCGUUGUGUAGACCGUUCGAUUACUUGAAUGGUGGAGAUCGACCAAGAUUAUUAUCUCUUGGCUUCUAGUGAAUUCAGUUGGUAGAAAGAGACUUCUCAGUUACUGCCUUUCGCUCUCUCGUUUUUCUCUCUCUAUUUUGGAGACUUUCUUUUUCUUCUUUCUUGAUUUUUCGAAUCUAGAGAUUAUUACUCCUUUGUAUGAUUCUUGUAAAUCUCAUGUGCUAUGGUAACCAGUAGGCAGGUUGCGUAAUUGAUCUGUUGUAUUUGUGUAAUUGUGACCGAUUUGUGAGGAAGCAGAUUGUAGUGUCCAGAUUUGAGAUUCUUUUGGAUCGAUGAUUGAUGUGGUUGUUCUCUUUGGUUCUAUGUACUAUACUCUCUCUGAGAGUUAGAAUUGCACUAGUGAAUUGGGUUGACUCUAAGCCUCCCAGAUUAAGCUAUUCGGCCUGAACUGG
RNAcentral lists this long non-coding RNA (1947 nucleotides) under Olea europaea subsp. europaea. The record is from RNAcentral. Lineage: Eukaryota; Viridiplantae; Streptophyta; Magnoliopsida; Lamiales; Oleaceae.